UUUUAAUAUGGCAGAUUUAAGUGUAAUGAAUUUAAGAUUCAUAAAUGAAAGUAAUUUUUUNAUUAAAAA
Molecule: transfer RNA, 69 nt
Filed under: Psyttalia lounsburyi
Lineage: Eukaryota; Metazoa; Arthropoda; Insecta; Hymenoptera; Braconidae
Description: tRNA-Leu
Source: RNAcentral